Unclassified non-coding RNA from Pongo abelii (Sumatran orangutan), 117 nucleotides. It matches the Rfam family "Metazoan signal recognition particle RNA". From Rfam's summary of the family: The signal recognition particle (SRP) is a universally conserved ribonucleoprotein. NCBI's taxonomy places the organism in Eukaryota, Metazoa, Chordata, Mammalia, Primates, Hominidae. The record is from Ensembl.
GCUGGGUGUGGUGGCUCACACCUGUAAUCCCAACACUUUGGGAAGCUGAGAUGGGAGGAUCACUUGAGCCCAGGAGUUCAAGACCAGCCUGGCCAACAUGGUGAAACCCCAUCUCUA